This 501-nucleotide ribosomal RNA is filed under the name uncultured bacterium. RNAcentral's name for it is "bacterial SSU rRNA". It matches the Rfam family "Bacterial small subunit ribosomal RNA", at positions 8 to 473 of the family's 1533-position model. The record is from RNAcentral.
AGAGUUUGAUCAUGGCUCAGAUUGAACGCCGGCGGUAUGCUUAACACAUGCAAGUCGAACGGUAACAGUCCCUCACCUAGAAAUUUCUUAAAAAGAGAUUUGUAGGUGAGGGAGCUGACGAGUGGCGGACGGGUGCGUAAUGUAUAGGAAUCUGCCUAGUAGUGGGGGACAACUCGGAGAAAUUCGAGCUAAUACCGCAUAAGCCCUACGGGGGAAAACGGGGGAUCUUCGGACCUCGUGCUAUUAGAUGAGCCUAUAUUAGAUUAGCUUGUUGGUGAGGUAAUGGCUCACCAAGGCGACGAUCUAUAGCUGGUCUGAGAGGAUGAUCAGCCACACUGGGACUGAGACACGGCCCAGACUCCUACGGGAGGCAGCAGUGGGGAAUAUUGGACAAUGGGCGAAAGCCUGAUCCAGCAAUACCGCGUGUGUGAAGAAGGCCUGAGGGUGUAAAGCACUUUCAAUUGGGAGGAAUACCUAAUAGUUAAUAGCUAUUAGAUUGAC